UACGAAGGGGGCUAGCGUUGUUCGGAAUUACUGGGCGUAAAGCGCACGUAGGCGGACAUUUAAGUCAGGGGUGAAAUCCCAGAGCUCAACUCUGGAACUGCCUUUGAUACUGGGUGUCUUGAGUAUGGAAGAGGUGAGUGGAAUUCCGAGUGUAGAGGUGAAAUGCGUAGAUAUCUGGAGGAACACCCGUGGUGCAGACGGCUUGCUGGACCCGUGACUGACGCUGAGGCACGAAAGCGUGGGUAGCAAACAGG
This 254-nucleotide ribosomal RNA is filed under the name uncultured bacterium. RNAcentral's name for it is "partial 16S ribosomal RNA". It matches the Rfam family "Bacterial small subunit ribosomal RNA", at positions 524 to 776 of the family's 1533-position model. The record is from RNAcentral.